Equus caballus (horse) is the source of this 423-nucleotide long non-coding RNA. RefSeq lists it as uncharacterized. The record is from RefSeq and is a predicted model, not a curated record. Lineage: Eukaryota; Metazoa; Chordata; Mammalia; Perissodactyla; Equidae.
ACGUGUGCGCAUGCGUCGUGUCCCUGUUAAACGGCGAAUAGGGCCCUGAGCAGACCGUGCCUUUAGUCCGGGGAAGCUCCGGGUUUAGGUGGGUCUCUCGGUUGGGCUUUCCCCCACCAAGGACCCCUUUUUCCCCUGCAGAAGCCACGUUUGCAGCACCACAUCCCCCGGAUGACCGUGCCCGCUGACUCACCGGAGGCUUCAUAACUCGCAGCAUCGGAGGUGAGCAGUGAAAGCACCGAAGGAAACAAAACAGGUAGAGAAGUGGAUGCAUGUUCGAUUCCUGCACUCCCCGCCUACAGACCUCAGAGCCCAGGCCAUGGCAGUAUUGCAAAGGGACAACAAACCCAUGGGUCCCUCCAGAAUGGACUGUAAAUGAAAUAUGUUCUAGUGUCUUUAAAGAAUAAAAUAGAAAUUUAUUUA